UCCCUUACCUGGCACGGGAUCCCCGUGAUAACAAAGGCGGUUUUCCCGGGGCGAAAAUCACCUUGCCCCCGGUGGUGUUGACCCCUGCGAUUAACCCAAAUGGGGUUUAAAAUCGAGGCGAAAAUUUUUGUUUGGGAAAGGGGACUGCGUUCGCGCUUCCCCUUA
Molecule: non-coding RNA, 165 nt
Organism: Cherax quadricarinatus
Lineage: Eukaryota; Metazoa; Arthropoda; Malacostraca; Decapoda; Parastacidae
Source: RefSeq, a predicted model, not a curated record